AGUCGAGGGGCAGCGGGAUUGAAGCUUGCUUCAAUUGCCGGCGACCGGCGCACGGGUGAGUAACGCGUAUCCAACCUUCCGUACACUCAGGGAUAGCCUUUCGAAAGAAAGAUUAAUACCUGAUGGUAUGAUGAGAUUGCAUGAUAGCAUCAUUAAAGAUUCAUCGGUGUACGAUGGGGAUGCGUUCCAUUAGGUAGUAGGCGGGGUAACGGCCCACCUAGCCUACGAUGGAUAGGGGUUCUGAGAGGAAGGUCCCCCACAUUGGAACUGAGACACGGUCCAAACUCCUACGGGAGGCAGCAGUGAGGAAUAUUGGUCAAUGGACGAGAGUCUGAACCAGCCAAGUAGCGUGAAGGAUGAAGGUCCUACGGAUUGUAAACUUCUUUUAUAAGGGAAUAAAACCUCCCACGUGUGGGAGCUUGUAUGUACCUUAUGAAUAAGCAUCGGCUAACUCCGUGCCAGCAGCCGCGGUAAUACGGAGGAUGCGAGCGUUAUCCGGAUUUAUUGGGUUUAAAGGGAGCGCAGACGGGUCGUUAAGUCAGCUGUGAAAGUUUGGGGCUCAACCUUAAAAUUGCAGUUGAUACUGGCGUCCUUGAGUGCGGUUGAGGUGUGCGGAAUUCGUGGUGUAGCGGUGAAAUGCUUAGAUAUCACGAAGAGCUCCGAUUGCGAAGGCAGCACACUAA
Molecule: ribosomal RNA, 683 nt
Filed under: uncultured bacterium
Lineage: Bacteria
Description: bacterial SSU rRNA
Rfam family: Bacterial small subunit ribosomal RNA
Source: RNAcentral